CAGUAGCCGCGGUAAUACGAAGGGGGCUAGCGUUGUUCGGAUUUACUGGGCGUAAAGCGCACGUAGGCGGACUUUUAAGUCAGGGGUGAAAUCCCGGGGCUCAACCCCGGAACUGCCUUUGAUACUGGGAGUCUUGAGUUCGAGAGAGGUGAGUGGAAUUGCGAGUGUAGAGGUGAAAUUCGUAGAUAUUCGCAGGAACACCAGUGGCGAAGGCGGCUCACUGGCUCGAUACUGACGCUGAGGUGCGAAAGCGUGGGGAGCAAACAGGAUUAGAUACCCGAGUAGUCCCUGUCUCUUAUAC
This 301-nucleotide ribosomal RNA is filed under the name uncultured bacterium. Its description in RNAcentral is "partial 16S ribosomal RNA". It matches the Rfam family "Bacterial small subunit ribosomal RNA", at positions 509 to 807 of the family's 1533-position model. The record is from RNAcentral.